This 253-nucleotide ribosomal RNA is filed under the name uncultured bacterium. RNAcentral describes it as "partial 16S ribosomal RNA". It matches the Rfam family "Bacterial small subunit ribosomal RNA", at positions 524 to 776 of the family's 1533-position model. The record is from RNAcentral.
UACAGAGGGGGCAAGCGUUAUUCGGAAUUAUUGGGUGUAAAGGGUGUGUAGGCGGGCUUUUAAGUCAGUGGUGAAAUCUCCGGGCUCAACCCGGAAACUGCCAUUGAUACUAUUAGUCUUGAAUUUUGUUGAGGUAGGCGGAAUAAGUCAUGUAGCGGUGAAAUGCAUAGAUAUGACUUAGAACACCAAUUGCGAAGGCAGCUUGCUAAACAAAUAUUGACGCUGAGGCACGAAAGCGUGGGGAUCAAACAGG